GAUGAACGCUGACAGAAUGCUUAACACAUGCAAGUCUUUGGCGAAGCUGUGCUUGCACAGCCUAGCCAAGGCGGACGGGUGAGUAACGCGUAAGGAACUUGCCCUGCAGUCAGGGAUAACAGACGGAAACGACUGAUAAGACCUGGUAAAGUCAGGCGGACUCAUGUCCAGCCUGAUGAAAAGAGAUGCUGCAGGAGAGCCUUGCGUCCUAUUAGCUUGUUGGUGGGGUAACGGCCCACCAAGGCGAGGAUAGGUAGCCGGCCUGAGAGGGUGGACGGCCACAAGGGGAACGAGAUACGGCCGUUACUACUACGGGAGGAAGCAGGGGGGAAUAUUGGACCAUGGGGGCAACCCUGAUCCAGCAAUUCUGUGUGCACGAUGAAGGUUUUCGGAUUGUAAAGUGCUUUCAGCAGGGAAGAAAAAAAUGACGGUACCUGCAGAAGAAGCGACGGCUAAAUACGUG
RNAcentral lists this ribosomal RNA (463 nucleotides) under uncultured bacterium. RNAcentral's name for it is "partial 16S ribosomal RNA". It matches the Rfam family "Bacterial small subunit ribosomal RNA", at positions 28 to 507 of the family's 1533-position model. The record is from RNAcentral.